CACUAUGCCUAGCCCUAAACAAAGAUGCCAUUAUACACUCCACAUCCGCCCGGGUACUACGAGCAUUAGCUUAAAACCCAAAGGACUUGGCGGUGCUUUAAAACCACCUAGAGGAGCCUGUUCUAGAACCGAUAACCCCCGUUAAACCUCACCCCUUCUUGUUUAACCCGCCUAUAUACCACCGUCGUCAGCCUACCCUGUGAAGGACUAAUAGUAGGCAAAGUUGGUACAACCCAAAACGUCAGGUCGAGGUGUAGCGCAUGGAGGGGGAAGAAAUGGGCUACAUUCUCUAUACAGAGAACCACGAAUGACACAAUGAAAUAUAUGUCUGAAGGAGGAUUUAGCAGUAAGUUAAGAAACAGAGUGUCUUACUGAAACCGGCCAUGAAGCGCGCACACACCGCCCGUCACUCUCCCCAAACCAAAUCAAACGAUAAUUAAUACAACAUUACACACAAAGGGGAGGCAAGUCGUAA
RNAcentral lists this ribosomal RNA (475 nucleotides) under Canthigaster valentini (Valentinni's sharpnose puffer). RNAcentral describes it as "partial small subunit ribosomal RNA". It matches the Rfam family "Bacterial small subunit ribosomal RNA", at positions 788 to 1491 of the family's 1533-position model. Lineage: Eukaryota; Metazoa; Chordata; Actinopteri; Tetraodontiformes; Tetraodontidae. The record is from RNAcentral.